CUUGACACUGAACAUUGAGCCUUGAUGUGUAGGAUAGGUGGGAGGCUUUGAAGUGUGGACGCCAGUCUGCAUGGAGCCGGCCUUGAAAUACCACCCUUUAAUGUUUGAUGUUCUAACGUUGGCCCCUUACCGGGGUUGCGGACAGUGUCUGGUGGGUAGUUUGACUGGGGCGGUCUCCUCCUAAAGAGUAACGGAGGAGCACGAAGGUUGGCUAAUCCUGGUCGGACAUCAGGAGGUUAGUGCAAUGGCAUAAGCCA
This 257-nucleotide ribosomal RNA is filed under the name Escherichia coli. RNAcentral's name for it is "partial 23S ribosomal RNA". It matches the Rfam family "Bacterial large subunit ribosomal RNA", at positions 2110 to 2366 of the family's 2925-position model. The record is from RNAcentral. Lineage: Bacteria; Pseudomonadati; Pseudomonadota; Gammaproteobacteria; Enterobacterales; Enterobacteriaceae.